Molecule: ribosomal RNA, 504 nt
Filed under: uncultured bacterium
Lineage: Bacteria
Description: bacterial SSU rRNA
Rfam family: Bacterial small subunit ribosomal RNA
Source: RNAcentral
GAUCCUGGCUCAGGAUGAACGCUAGCGGCAGGCUUAAUACAUGCAAGUCGAACGGGAUCAGGUAGCAAUACUUGAUGAGAGUGGCGCACGGGUGCGUAACACGUAUGCAACCUACCUUUAACUGGUGAAUAGCCCCGGGAAAUCGGGAUUAAUACACCAUAACAUUACAAGAGGGCAUCCUCUAAUAAUUAAAGAACUUCGGUUAAAGAUGGGCAUGCGGGACAUUAGCUAGUUGGUGAGGUAACGGCUCACCAAGGCAACGAUGUCUAGGGGUCCUGAGAGGGUUAUCCCCCACACUGGUACUGAGACACGGACCAGACUCCUACGGGAGGCAGCAGUAAGGAAUAUUGGUCAAUGGGCGCAAGCCUGAACCAGCCAUGCCGCGUGAAGGAAGACGGCGCUAUGCGUUGUAAACUUCUUUUGUCAGGGAAUAAAUGUAGGUACGUGUACUUACUUGAAGGUACCUGAAGAAUAAGCAUCGGCUAACUCCGUGCCAGCCGCCGC